AAACUGCAGCUCAUAGAUAGCUUACUUUCUGAAUAAUAACCUUUCUCUCUACUAGGUCACUGGACAUUGCUUUUACUCCAUAUCUAAGAGUGCAUUAACCAGAACAAUGAAUAUUCUCUCAGCAGCACUCUACACUUCAUUUGCAGAACUCAAAAGUGCAUCAGAAGCCAAGAGAAAAGCUAUUUCGUAGAUGUUCUUGCACUAGGAGUAACCGGACAACAUCUCUAAAGCUAUCCAGGAACUGGCUAUCUCGAAGAGCUGACUUCUCCAGCUAUAUCUCAGGAUCUGUUACCAGGUCAAGAGGAAGAAAUACAUUAUACGUCAGACAUCUCAGUAGGUUUUUCAAGGAAUUUCUAAACCAGGCAUCUUGUCUUGAACUAGUAGUCUUCCCAGCCACUUCAUUAAGCCACUUCUUGACUAAAGCCAAUACAAUCACAGAAGGGAGAAGGGUCAGCAGCUAAGUCAACAUGUUAACUUGGCACACACAGCAUUAAUUUUGAAGGAGGCUAACUGCUAAAAAGGGAUUUUCCAAAUAUCACAAAGGAAACAUUUAAUUACAUUUGGGCCUGCUGAGCAUUCAAAGCCUAGUAAAACUAGUCAAAAGUGAGUUGAGAAU
RNAcentral lists this long non-coding RNA (616 nucleotides) under Numida meleagris (helmeted guineafowl). RNAcentral describes it as "lncRNA (ENSNMEG00000019103.1)". Lineage: Eukaryota; Metazoa; Chordata; Aves; Galliformes; Numididae. The record is from RNAcentral.